GACGAACGCUGGCGGCGUGCUUAACACAUGCAAGUCGAACGAAGUGGCGAACGGGUGAGUAACGCGUAAUCAACCUGCCCUUCAGAGGGGGACAACAGUUGGAAACGACUGCUAAUACCGUAUACUGAAGGAGGGGAUUGCGUCUGAUUGGCUAGUUGGAGGGGGAACGGCCCACCAAGGCGAGGAUCAGUAGCCGGUCUGAGGGGAUGAACGGGCACAUUGGGACUGGGACACGGCCCAUCCUCCUACGGGAGGCAGCAGUGGGGAAUCUUCCGCAAUGGACGGAAGUCUGACGGGGCAACGCCGCGUGAGUGAUGACGGCCUUCGGGUUGUAAAGCUCUGUUAAUCGGGACGCGGUACCGGAAUAGAAAGCCACGGCUAACUACGUGCCAGCAGCCGCGGUAAUUC
This 408-nucleotide ribosomal RNA is filed under the name uncultured bacterium. RNAcentral describes it as "partial 16S ribosomal RNA". It matches the Rfam family "Bacterial small subunit ribosomal RNA", at positions 28 to 526 of the family's 1533-position model. The record is from RNAcentral.